Molecule: non-coding RNA, 45 nt
Organism: Schistosoma rodhaini
Lineage: Eukaryota; Metazoa; Platyhelminthes; Trematoda; Strigeidida; Schistosomatidae
Source: Rfam
AUCCAGCUGACGAGUCUCAAGUGGGACGAAACUCGCUUCCUGGAU